AUUGAACGCUGGCGGCAUGCCUUACACAUGCCAGUCGAACGGCAGCACGGGUGCUUGCACCUGGUGGCGAGUGGCGAACGGGUGAGUAAUACAUCGGAACAUGUCCUGUAGUGGGGGAUAGCCCGGCGAAAGCCGGAUUAAUACCGCAUACGAUCUACGGGUGAAAGCGGGGGACCUUCGGGCCUCGCGCUAUAGGGUUGGCCGAUGGCUGAUUAGCUAGUUGGUGGGGUAAAGGCCUACCAAGGCGACGAUCAGUAGCUGGUCUGAGAGGACGACCAGCCACACUGGGACUGAGACACGGCCCAGACUCCUACGGGAGGCAGCAGUGGGGAAUUUUGGACAAUGGGCGAAAGCCUGAUCCAGCAAUGCCGCGUGUGUGAAGAAGGCCUUCGGGUUGUAAAGCACUUUUGUCCGGAAAGAAAUCCUUGGCCCUAAUACGGUCGGGGGAUGACGGUACCGGAAGAAUAAGCACCGGCUAACUACGUG
This 486-nucleotide ribosomal RNA is filed under the name uncultured bacterium. RNAcentral's name for it is "partial 16S ribosomal RNA". It matches the Rfam family "Bacterial small subunit ribosomal RNA", at positions 30 to 507 of the family's 1533-position model. The record is from RNAcentral.